UAGGUKGAUGCUCGCUGGAUUGAGUGUUUAAUUGUUAAUUAAAUNUUCGUGGGAUCGAAGCCCGCCAACCUARU
This 74-nucleotide transfer RNA is filed under the name Kolekanos plumicauda. RNAcentral's name for it is "tRNA-Asn". The record is from RNAcentral. Lineage: Eukaryota; Metazoa; Chordata; Lepidosauria; Squamata; Gekkonidae.